RNAcentral lists this non-coding RNA (28 nucleotides) under Homo sapiens (human). The record is from RNAcentral. Lineage: Eukaryota; Metazoa; Chordata; Mammalia; Primates; Hominidae.
CGCAGCAGAAGGCUGGAGUCAAAAAUGC